CUGAUUUGCUACAUUUUGAAAUGUUGCAAAAAGCUGUGAGGAGAAGCUAAGACUACAACAAUUUGAUUAUCAAGGAGCCAGUCAAGAUAAGACAGAAUAAAAGAAGCAGCCUCUCUCUGAGUGCUGGAAACCAGUUCCCAAUCCAGUUCAAAAUAAAACAGGAUUGAAGACAUUCAGCUAACCUGCAAAGCCAAGAACCUCAAAGUUAACCUUGCAGCAAGCAGUUGCUAUUCUUUUCAUUUGUUCACAUUAAAUGAUGCAGCCCUUUGAUGACUAACUCGUCGCCGAUAAAGAGCUCAUGCAAAUUUUGUGGAAAUUGAAAUGAGUCAAGUCGACCAUGAGGGCGCUCAGGAAGUACAUUUCAACAAGAAAGUGUCAACAAAAUCAGGAAUUCUUAUCUGCAUACAACUUUGAAAGUGGGGAAAACUGGAACUUUCAAGACAGAGAUUAAUAGAUUUUAUUUGGUAAAGGUGUCGAGAGGCAUGGAGUACAUGGGAUAGGCUACAGACUAGCCAUGAUCCAAUUGAAUGAAAGAGCAGAAUUGAAUGGUUGAAUGCCGUAUGCUUAUGACAAUAAACUGCUUCUCAAUACAUUAGUAACUGACUUGUGUUUGCAAUUAGUUCAUUUAUGUGUAUUGGUGCAAAUAAAGCACUGUUCCCAUAUACUUCAAUGUAUUAACUAUUGGGUAUAAUAACUGUUUGCUCUGAUGUGAUGUAAAAUAUGCCAAAGGGCAAUUUGAUGCAUUUUCUUUUAGCAUAUUCUUUUUCAGAAAGUUAUUCUGCAUAAAAAUAU
Molecule: non-coding RNA, 792 nt
Organism: Chiloscyllium plagiosum (whitespotted bambooshark)
Lineage: Eukaryota; Metazoa; Chordata; Chondrichthyes; Orectolobiformes; Hemiscylliidae
Source: RefSeq, a predicted model, not a curated record